AGUAUAGUCCCACAAAGUGGGUUCUCGGGAAGGUAAUAUGUAGACCAGCCAUACCCCUACCCGAAAGGGCAUAGAGGUUGUUUCCAAUCGACCUUCGGCUCAGUGAAGGAAAGGAAAAACAAAAAAAAGACAAAAAAGCAUUAGUAACUCCAGCAGAAAUAGCGUAUAUAAUUAUCUAAACAUAAGAACCAUAAAUAAA
This 199-nucleotide long non-coding RNA is filed under the name Nicotiana benthamiana. Its description in RNAcentral is "long non-coding RNA (NBEN_LNC024129)". The record is from RNAcentral. Lineage: Eukaryota; Viridiplantae; Streptophyta; Magnoliopsida; Solanales; Solanaceae.